Non-coding RNA from Pelobates cultripes (western spadefoot toad), 223 nucleotides. The record is from the annotation of a GenBank genome assembly. Lineage: Eukaryota; Metazoa; Chordata; Amphibia; Anura; Pelobatidae.
CUCACAUGUACGCGGAUGACACAGUAAUCUAUGCGAGAAAAUCCAAUCUACUGCAGCUUGAGGUCCAAGACCAGUUUACAGAGGUAGAAAAGUGGAUCGCAAAAAACAAACUCUUCCUGAACACUGACAAAACUGUCACAAUGAUCUUUGGAACAGUACCUAAAUUACACAAAUUACACAAUUCCCACCUAUCAAUCAAAACAAAUUCAAAUGGCACACUGAC